This 258-nucleotide ribosomal RNA is filed under the name uncultured bacterium. RNAcentral describes it as "partial 16S ribosomal RNA". It matches the Rfam family "Bacterial small subunit ribosomal RNA", at positions 96 to 354 of the family's 1533-position model. The record is from RNAcentral.
UGGCGGACGGGUGAGUAACGCGUGGGUAACCUGCCCCAUACAGGGGGAUAACAGAUAGAAAUGUCUGCUAAUACCGCAUAAGACCACAGCGCCGCAUGGCGCAGGGGUAAAAACUCCGGUGGUAUGGGAUGGACCCGCGUCUGAUUAGCUAGUUGGUGGGGUAAAGGCCCACCAAGGCGACGAUCAGUAGCCGACCUGAGAGGGUGACCGGCCACAUUGGGACUGAGACACGGCCCAAACUCCUACGGGAGGCAGCAG